This 701-nucleotide ribosomal RNA is filed under the name uncultured Glomeromycotina. Its description in RNAcentral is "eukaryotic LSU rRNA". It matches the Rfam family "Eukaryotic large subunit ribosomal RNA", at positions 59 to 640 of the family's 3401-position model. The record is from RNAcentral. Lineage: Eukaryota; Fungi; Glomeromycota.
AAGAAAAUAACAAUGAUUCCCCUAGUAACGGCGAGCGAAGAGGGAAUAGCUCAAAUUUUAAAUCUGUUGGGACUUACCUAACCGAGUUGUAAUUUGAAGAAGCGUUUUCUGCGUGUUUGAUUUAGCCCAAAUCCUUUGGGAUAAGGUAUCAUGGAGGGUGAGAAUCCCGUCCGGCCUAAUCAAAUGUGCAUUACGAUACGUUUUCUAAGAGUCGAGUUGUUUGGGAUUGCAGCUCAAAAUGGGAGGUAAAUUUCUCCUAAGGCUAAAUAUUGGCGAGAGACCGAUAGCGAACAAGUACCGUGAGGGAAAGAUGAAAAGAACUUUGAAAAGAGAGUUAAACAGUACGUGAAAUUGUUGAAAGGGAAACGAUUAAAGUCAGUCGUACUAAUGGGGAAUCAACCUUUUGAGGGUGGAAUUGUGGGAUUCAAAGUGCCUUUGUUUUUCACAACCUGCUUUUUUUGGGUGUACUUUCCCGUAUUGUAGGUCAGCAUCGGUUUUGACCGUUAUAAAAUGACUGGAGGAAUGUAGCUUCGAUCUCGUAUUGAAGUGUUAUAGCCUUUGGUAGAUGUAACGGAUGGGAUCGAGGAUUGCAAUGAAUACCCUCAUGGGCUAUCCGCCUGGCCUCUGACAUGUCACUCUGGUGCUGAAAGCGUGCUUAUGGUAUCAUAGUGUACGGUCAAAAGGUUAGAACGGAUUAAAUU